GAUGAACGCUGGCGGCGUGCCUAAUACAUGCAAGUCGAGCGAACAGACGAGGAGCUUGCUCCUCUGAUGUUAGCGGCGGACGGGUGAGUAACACGUGGAUAACCUACCUAUAAGACUGGGAUAACUUCGGGAAACCGGAGCUAAUACCGGAUAACAUGUUGAACCGCAUGGUUCAACAGUGAAAGACGGUCUUGCUGUCACUUAUAGAUGGAUCCGCGCCGCAUUAGCUAGUUGGUAAGGUAACGGCUUACCAAGGCAACGAUGCGUAGCCGACCUGAGAGGGUGAUCGGCCACACUGGAUCUGAGACACGGUCCAGACUCCUACGGGAGGCAGCAGUAGGGAAUCUUCCGCAAUGGGCGAAAGCCUGACGGAGCAACGCCGCGUGAGUGAAGAAGGUCUUCGGAUCGUAAAACUCUGUUAUUAGGGAAGAACAAAUGUGUAAGUAACUAUGCACGUCUUGACGGUACCUAAUCAGAAAGCCACGGCUAACUACGUG
Molecule: ribosomal RNA, 497 nt
Filed under: uncultured bacterium
Lineage: Bacteria
Description: partial 16S ribosomal RNA
Rfam family: Bacterial small subunit ribosomal RNA
Source: RNAcentral